CCUUGAAGUACUUAACAUUUUUCACUGCUUAAAUUUUCUGUAUCUAUAACCAUUCAAGAAUUAUAGGGAAAUCAAAGACAUAUGAAAAUCUAAAAUAUGACCUUGACCUUUGACCUUGACCUAAUUUUCUAAGUUAGGAAUCAGGGGACUCAAAUAAAAACAUUCCAGGGUUAUACGGUUAACGGUUUAUGAGUUAAAAAAACAUACCGACAAAUUUAUUCCGUAAAGAUAGAUAACUCCUAUAAAAUUUCAUCGAAUCGCUUCGAUCCAAAUUAGCCAAAAUUUCUGAGGAUGUAACGAACAAUUUGUAAAAAGAAUUUUGUCGCUAUCUUUUUUUGUUACGAAGGAGAUGCACACACAUGAUAAACAGUGAAUAGGGAGAUAACUCUUACAAAGAAAAUUGUUCGUCUUAGCAGGGUGAAAUUUAAAAGCGCAUAAACUAUACGAUACAAUAUGAGAAAUAUCUAAGCGACAUAUUGCGAAACAAACAUUUAUCGCAAGAACAAAAUUUGGCGGAAAAAAAAAAAUAAUAAUAAUAAUAAAUAUAAAGCAAUUGUUUUGAAAACAAUUGUUAGGCAGUCUUUCCCCUCUGAUGAAUGGAUAAUUGAUUUUUUUUUAUUGAUUGAUUUGGAAAAAAAAGGGGGGGGGGGUAUUUGUUUAUUGUUUGUUUGUUUGUUUUUUGUAAUGGGGUCUAUAUUAUUAUGUUACCGGAGAAGUUUCAUGUUUAGUUUGGAAAGUUUUUCUUUUAUUUUAGAUACAGCGCGCGCGCAAGAUUGAGGAGACAUCACGUGACGCGGGUUUAUAUUAAGAAAAACUUAGUCUUUUAAUUUCUUUUUAGGUCGGGACCUUGAACAGACAACAAGUCUAGAGAUGGAAUGUACACAAUGUAAUUUCUUUUGUCAUUGUAGGAAAUUGACAUUUUGAUCACAGUUCACCAGCAGUGCAUGUUUUGGAUUUAAUCGAUCCGGUGUAACUUUAAAAACACAUUUAAUGAUUAUUUUUUGAUAAUGUCCAUUUUUCAGCACCUGUUUGUAACACAGAUUAGUAUUUCAAUCUCGGAGCGGACAUUUUAUUGUAGGUUUUUACUGAGAUUUGACGGACCUAGCAAGCGAUUUUUACGGCAUUGCCAUUUCUUUUUUCUAGGAAAAGUCUUGAGAGAUAUCUGCAAAAAGUUUUUUUAUGAACCUUCAGUACAUGUAUGCCCUGCUGACUGCAAAUUUUCAGGUCGAUUGGACUUGUAGUUUCAGAGAAUAUGUGGAUUUUUUUUUCAGAAGAGACGUAAGAACAAUAAUAAAAUAAAAAUUUUCUUGAAUAAUUGAGAGUUUGUUCCUUCAAUAAACUGUCAUAAAUAAACAGUCAUACAUAUUGAUUGAUUGAUUAGUUGGUUGAUUGAUUGGUUGGUUGGUUGGUUGUUGGUUGGUUGGUUGAUUAAACACGUUUGAUAGGGUCACUUAGAACAAGGGGAAAAAGACCUCAAGAGACCUUGCAUCCCGUAUUAAACGCAUGACACGGAAACAUACAUUAAGUGAUUGAUUGGUUGGUUGGUUGGUUGGUUAAACACGUUGGUUAAACAUGUUGGUUUAACACGUUGGUUAAACACGUUGGCUGGUUAAACACGUUUGAUAGGCUCAAUUUAAACAAGCGAAAAAAAAAACCAUCUUGGAUCCCGUAUUUAACACAUGAAACGGAAACAUGCAUUGAUUUAUUUAUUGGUUGGUUGGUUGGUU
RNAcentral lists this long non-coding RNA (1727 nucleotides) under Mytilus galloprovincialis (Mediterranean mussel). Lineage: Eukaryota; Metazoa; Mollusca; Bivalvia; Mytilida; Mytilidae. The record is from RNAcentral.